This 448-nucleotide ribosomal RNA is filed under the name uncultured bacterium. RNAcentral describes it as "bacterial SSU rRNA". It matches the Rfam family "Bacterial small subunit ribosomal RNA", at positions 329 to 794 of the family's 1533-position model. The record is from RNAcentral.
ACCCAGACUCCUACGGGAGGCAGCAGUGGGGAAUAUUGCACAAUGGGGGAAACCCUGAUGCAGCGACGCCGCGUGAGCGAUGAAGUAUUUCGGUAUGUAAAGCUCUAUCAGCAGGGAAGAAGAUGACGGUACCUGACUAAGAAGCCCCGGCUAACUACGUGCCAGCAGCCGCGGUAAUACGUAGGGGGCAAGCGUUAUCCGGAUUUACUGGGUGUAAAGGGAGCGUAGACGGCGAUGCAAGCCAGAUGUGAAAGCCCGGGGCUCAACCCCGGGACUGCAUUUGGAACUGUGUGGCUGGAGUGUCGGAGAGGCAGGCGGAAUUCCUAGUGUAGCGGUGAAAUGCGUAGAUAUUAGGAGGAACACCAGUGGCGAAGGCGGCCUGCUGGACGAUGACUGACGUUGAGGCUCGAAAGCGUGGGGAGCAAACAGGAUUAGAUACCCUGGUACC